This 305-nucleotide ribosomal RNA is filed under the name uncultured bacterium. RNAcentral describes it as "bacterial SSU rRNA". It matches the Rfam family "Bacterial small subunit ribosomal RNA", at positions 336 to 656 of the family's 1533-position model. The record is from RNAcentral.
UUCCUACGGGGGGCAGCAGUGGGGAAUAUUGGGCAAUGGGCGAAAGCCUGACCCAGCAACGCCGCGUGAAGGAAGAAGGCUUUCGGGUUGUAAACUUCUUUUGACAGGGAAGAGCAGAAGACGGUACCUGUCGAAUAAGCCACGGCUAACUACGUGCCAGCAGCCGCGGUAAUACGUAGGUGGCAAGCGUUGUCCGGAUUUACUGGGUGUAAAGGGCGUGUAGCCGGGUUGACAAGUCAGAUGUGAAAUCCGGGGGCUUAACCCCCGAACUGCAUUUGAAACUGUUGAUCUUGAGUAUCGGAGAG